AUUGAACGCUGGCGGAAUGCUUUACACAUGCAAGUCGAACGGCAGCACGGGGCAACCUGGUGGCGAGUGGCGAACGGGUGAGUAAUACAUCGGAACGUGCCCAGUCGUGGGGGAUAACGUAGCGAAAGUUACGCUAAUACCGCAUACGAUCUAUGGAUGAAAGCGGGGGAUCGCAAGACCUCGCGCGAUUGGAGCGGCCGAUGUCAGAUUAGGUAGUUGGUGGGGUAAAGGCCUACCAAGCCGACGAUCUGUAGCUGGUCUGAGAGGACGACCAGCCACACUGGGACUGAGACACGGCCCAGACUCCUACGGGAGGCAGCAGUGGGGAAUUUUGGACAAUGGGCGGAAGCCUGAUCCAGCCAUGCCGCGUGAGUGAAGAAGGCCUGG
This 387-nucleotide ribosomal RNA is filed under the name uncultured bacterium. RNAcentral's name for it is "bacterial SSU rRNA". It matches the Rfam family "Bacterial small subunit ribosomal RNA", at positions 29 to 419 of the family's 1533-position model. The record is from RNAcentral.